This is a transfer RNA of Thermanaerothrix daxensis, 75 nucleotides long. It matches the Rfam family "tRNA". From Rfam's summary of the family: Transfer RNA (tRNA) molecules are approximately 80 nucleotides in length. Their secondary structure includes four short double-helical elements and three loops (D, anti-codon, and T loops). NCBI's taxonomy places the organism in Bacteria, Bacillati, Chloroflexota, Anaerolineae, Anaerolineales, Anaerolineaceae. The record is from Rfam.
CGGGGCGUGGCUCAGCCCGGCUAGAGCGCUGCGUUCGGGUCGCAGAGGUCCCCGGUUCAAAUCCGGGCGCCCCGA